Molecule: long non-coding RNA, 459 nt
Organism: Contarinia nasturtii (swede midge)
Lineage: Eukaryota; Metazoa; Arthropoda; Insecta; Diptera; Cecidomyiidae
Exons: 2
Source: RefSeq, a predicted model, not a curated record
AGAAAAUAUCAUUAAUAUCGCGACAUCAAGCACACCGCAAGUACAAACAAGUUGAAUAACAUUUAAAUUUAUAGAUUUCUUGAAAGAAAGUUUCAUUAUCUAAAAUAAAAAUAUGUUGAAUCGGAAUAUCUUCGCACUACUUUUGAUAGGAGUCGCAUUUUGUGGGCUACUAGUUAACAAUGUAGAUGCCGGUGGAAAUCCUAUUACAAGAAGCUUAAGUGCGUUUGUUGGAUGUUUCACUCCAACUGAAGUUGAAACUCUUGAAUGCCAAAUAAAAGAUUUAGAAGUGAAGGGUGACUUUGCGGGAGCAGAUAAGUUAUAUAAGGAGUUGACAAAGCGAGCAGAGAAGCGUUUAAAGAAACAAUCAAAAAAAUAGUUCUUCUAUUCGGUUAACGAAAUAAUUAUCACCCAUGAAGUUUAAUUGUCACAUAUUAUAAUAAAUAUUUGUAAAAGAUCAAA